This 1128-nucleotide long non-coding RNA is filed under the name Dromaius novaehollandiae (emu). RNAcentral describes it as "lncRNA (ENSDNVG00000007933.1)". Lineage: Eukaryota; Metazoa; Chordata; Aves; Casuariiformes; Dromaiidae. The record is from RNAcentral.
AUGAGUGGGGACGGGGACAGGGACGAUACCCCCCAGUCCCCCCGGUCCCUGCCCGCCUUUCCCCAGCUCCUUCCUGCCGUGCAUCUGGAAGCGGUUUGCAUCGCUCCUCUCCAGCCGCUCCGGGCUCUGCUCCCUGCUCCCAGCUGCGCUAAAACGUUGCAGACCCGCUGUCGAAACCCCUUGCCCGCUGGUGCGGGGCUGGGCCGGCCCUCCCGCCGCGCUGUCCCCCCCGGCCGCCGCGCUCCGCUCGCCGAGUCCCUCCUCGCCUGCCCCCUGCUCCCAGCUGCAAUUUCCCGCCUGGAAAAGGCCCAGCGUGGGGACAACCGCGGCCGUCGCCUUCCUUCCGUCCCGCCRAAGCGCCGCGGGCUGCCAUCCCCGUGCUCCCUCCGCACCCCCGCGCCCGCGAUGCCUCCGGCCAGCGCAGACCCGGGAGCCCGGCACCCCGGGCAGGGCCGACCCGGGAGCRCACACGCGCUGGCCCUGCCCGGGGGAGCGAAAACAUCUGGCAGGGCAGCGAGGCUGAGCAACGCCGGAGCUGGGCCCAAACAUCUGGAUUUCCCUGGAAACCGGGGAGGAAGGGGGGGACUAACUCCCGGCGCUCCCCGGGAUGCCGGUGGGGGAGGCUGGGGACGGGGGCCGGCAGCAGAGCAGCCCUGGGCAGAGUGCGAGGGCGGAGGGGCCGGGGGGGGCCCGGGAAAGGCCCCCGCUGCCCGUGCCCGGUGUGCCUGGCUCUUCCCUCCCCUCCCUUUCUCCUCUCCUCCGCCCAGGCCAAAUUCCUCGGCAAUGACAUCUCCGUCCAUCCGCUCCCCCCAGCCCUCUCUCCGCAUCUCGCGCUCCCCUGACCUUCCCCAGCCCCCCCGGUGCCCGCGGCCCCCCCGGCCCGCCCGCACCGGAGCCCGCGGCUGCAGCGCCCCGGUUGUGCAGAGCGGCACCCGCGCCAGCGCGGCGGGGUCCGCAGCUCGCCCUGACACCCCGCCAGCCGCCGGGGCCAAGGAAACGCAGCCGAGAUUAAAAACAGCUGCCUCGGUCUCCAUGGCGAGAGGGAGCCGGGGAGGAAAACGCCCCCCAAACGCACUCGCGCGGCUCCGAGCAAAGCGCCCCGGUCCCGCAGGCCGCGGCCCCGCCGGA